AGUGAACGCUGGCGGUAGGCCUAACACAUGCAAGUCGAACGGCAGCACAGUAAGAGCUUGCUCUUACGGGUGGCGAGUGGCGGACGGGUGAGGAAUACAUCGGAAUCUACUUUUUCGUGGGGGAUAACGUAGGGAAACUUACGCUAAUACCGCAUACGACCUACGGGUGAAAGCAGGGGAUCUUCGGACCUUGCGCGAUUGAAUGAGCCGAUGUCGGAUUAGCUAGUUGGCGGGGUAAAGGCCCACCAAGGCGACGAUCCGUAGCUGGUCUGAGAGGAUGAUCAGCCACACUGGAACUGAGACACGGUCCAGACUCCUACGGGGGGCAGCAGUGGGGAAUAUUGGACAAUGGGCGCAAGCCUGAUACAGCCAUACCGCCUGGGUGAAGAAGGCCUUCGGGUUGUAAAGCCCUUUUGUUGGGAAAGAAAAGCAGCAGGUUAAUACCCCGCUGUUCUGACGGUACCCAAAGAAUAAGCACCGGCUAACUUCGUG
RNAcentral lists this ribosomal RNA (492 nucleotides) under uncultured bacterium. RNAcentral describes it as "partial 16S ribosomal RNA". It matches the Rfam family "Bacterial small subunit ribosomal RNA", at positions 29 to 507 of the family's 1533-position model. The record is from RNAcentral.